CAUAGGUUAACGAGGCGAACCGGGGGAACUGAAACAUCUAAGUACCCCGAGGAAAAGAAAUCAACCGAGAUUCCCCCAGUAGCGGCGAGCGAACGGGGAGCAGCCCAGAGUCUGAAUCAGCUUGUGUGUUAGUGGAAGCGUCUGGAAAGUCGCACGGUACAGGGUGACAGUCCCGUACACGAAAAUGCACAGGUUGUGAACUCGAAGAGUAGGGCGGGACACGUGGUAUCCUGUCUGAAUAUGGGGGGACCAUCCUCCAAGGCUAAAUACUCCUGACUGACCGAUAGUGAACCAGUACCGUGAGGGAAAGGCGAAAAGA
RNAcentral lists this ribosomal RNA (319 nucleotides) under Enterobacter roggenkampii. RNAcentral describes it as "partial 23S ribosomal RNA". It matches the Rfam family "Bacterial large subunit ribosomal RNA", at positions 165 to 522 of the family's 2925-position model. The record is from RNAcentral. Lineage: Bacteria; Pseudomonadati; Pseudomonadota; Gammaproteobacteria; Enterobacterales; Enterobacteriaceae.